AUUGAACGCUGGCGGCAUGCCUUACACAUGCAAGUCGAACGGUAACGGGCCUUCGGGUGCCGACGAGUGGCGAACGGGUGAGUAAUACAUCGGAACGUGCCCGAUCGUGGGGGAUAACGAGGCGAAAGCUUUGCUAAUACCGCAUACGAUCUACGGAUUAAAGCCGGGGACCGCAAGGCCUUGCGCGGACGGAGCGGCCGAUGGCAGAUUAGGUAGUUGGUGGGAUAAAAGCUUACCAAGCCGACGAUCUGUAGCUGGUCUGAGAGGAUGAUCAGCCACACUGGGACUGAGACACGGCCCAGACUCCUACGGGAGGCAGCAGUGGGGAAUUUUGGACAAUGGGCGCAAGCCUGAUCCAGCCAUGCCGCGUGCAGGAUGAAGGCCUUCGGGUUGUAAACUGCUUUUGUACGGAACGAAAAGCCUUCUUUUAAUACAGGAGGGUCAUGACGGUACCGUAAGAAUAAGCACCGGCUAACUACGUG
Molecule: ribosomal RNA, 482 nt
Filed under: uncultured bacterium
Lineage: Bacteria
Description: partial 16S ribosomal RNA
Rfam family: Bacterial small subunit ribosomal RNA
Source: RNAcentral